GUUUACGGCCACACCACCCUGAACAUGCCUGAUCUCAUCUGAUCUUGGAAGCUAAGGAGGGUUGCACCUGGUUAGUACUAGGAAGAGAGAAAAUACUUACUGAUCACA
Molecule: ribosomal RNA, 108 nt
Organism: Fukomys damarensis (Damara mole-rat)
Lineage: Eukaryota; Metazoa; Chordata; Mammalia; Rodentia; Bathyergidae
Source: Ensembl